AUUGAACGCUGGCGGCAUGCUUUACACAUGCAAGUCGAACGGUAACAGGCCUUCGGGUGCUGACGAGUGGCGAACGGGUGAGUAAUGCAUCGGAACGUACCCAGAGGUGGGGGAUAACGCAGCGAAAGCUGUGCUAAUACCGCAUGUGAUCUGAGGAUGAAAGCGGGGGACCGAGCAGCAAUGUUUGGCCUCGCGCCUUUGGAGCGGCCGAUGUCGGAUUAGCUAGUUGGUGGGGUAAAGGCCUACCAAGGCGACGAUCCGUAGCUGGUCUGAGAGGACGACCAGCCACACUGGGUCUGAGACACGGCCCAGACUCCUACGGGAGGCAGCAGUGGGGAAUUUUGGACAAUGGGCGCGAGCCUGAUCCAGCAAUGCCGCGUGCGGGAAGAAGGCCUUCGGGUUGUAAACCGCUUUUGGCAGGAACGAAACGGUGUCCGCUAAUACCGGGCGCUAAUGACGGUACCUGCAGAAUAAGCACCGGCUAACUACGUG
This 492-nucleotide ribosomal RNA is filed under the name uncultured bacterium. Its description in RNAcentral is "partial 16S ribosomal RNA". It matches the Rfam family "Bacterial small subunit ribosomal RNA", at positions 29 to 507 of the family's 1533-position model. The record is from RNAcentral.